AACCUGUUGAGGGAGGUGCAUGCAAAUUGUUCCUUCCUUAAAAUAAUGCCGUAUGCAGCUCUCAUGUCAUUGAUGACGGAGCAACUGGGCUUCUAAUAUAUCUUGAAAACAUUCAGAGCAGAAAGCAGUGGAUGAAGUGUUAGUAACAUAAUGCAAAAUAUGAUUUCCUGGAGUCUGUUCUUCAUAGUUACUAUUAAUGGAGUUUGGAGUGAAAUCAAACUGGAACAGUCUCCCUCCGAGGUGAAGAAACCUGGAGAGAAAGUGAAGAUGUCGUGUAUCACGUCAGGUUAUACAAUGACAAGCUUCUAUAUUAGCUGGAUACGACAGAGGCCAGGAAAUGCUCUGGAGUGGAUUGGGAGGAUGAACACAGGCAGCAACUCUGCUACCUUCAGCAGCUCCUUCCAAAGCCGUUUCAUCAUGACUGAAGAUGUGUCCAAGAGCACUCAGUACCUCGAGGUCACGAGCCUGACAGCAGAAGACUCAGCUGUUUACUUCUGUGCUCGAGACACAGUGACUGAAGACAGCGGAGCAGCUGAACAAAAACAUCCACACACAACAAACAGCAACUUGGGGACAUUUGGAUUUUCUCACAAACUGCAAAAGUACUUUAAUAUUUAUCCCCUUUAUUGUAUUUAAAAGCCAUGGCUAAAUAUGUAUUAUCUUCAUGAUGUCAAAUCACUCACAGUUAUAUAAAGUGUUUUUUAACUGUAAAAGCAUGAAUAAAUUCUGUAUUACUGAUGCCAUAAACUGUAAAAGAUAU
Gasterosteus aculeatus aculeatus (three-spined stickleback) is the source of this 760-nucleotide non-coding RNA. The record is from the annotation of a RefSeq genome assembly. NCBI's taxonomy places the organism in Eukaryota, Metazoa, Chordata, Actinopteri, Perciformes, Gasterosteidae.